UCUUCUUGCCUGCGCGAGCAGAUCGGAGCGUCUCAGUUACCGGUAGAUUCUCGCGCCGAGAAAUGCUUCGCGCAGCUCCUCCGACGCUCCAGAGGUCCAGGCGAUGCACUUAUGUUCUACAAGUAGAUGAAGCGGUUGACAUUUUCAAGGAUCACUACCAGGAAGGAAUUGGAAGUCAAUGCUUGAAGCUAUCCAUGACCGAUGAUGCUCAACGAGUUUUUGGCAUUGAGUAUCGUCCUACUCCACAGCUCAAAGUAUUACAAGUCUUUGCACAUUCGGAGGGGGAUGUUUCUUCUCGUCCCGGAAAUUGUUACUGUUCUUGGAGGAGCUUGACGAGGCUCGACAGAGAGUGGUACAUCAAGUAAACAAACCUCCUCGGGGAAACAGGUAAAGUUUUCUUCUUCGUGUACUAGUUAAGGAUAUUUGCAGGCACCCGCGUGGUACUACUCCACCAUCGUUGGAAGAGCAACUUACACAAGCUGCCUGGCCCCGAACUCCUGACGUCCAAGAAAACAAUGGCCCUGCAGCCAAUCCUGGAAGUGAGCAGCAACCUUCUUCGACUGUUCGUGAUCAUCCAUAUACAGGAAGGCAAGCACCUGUUUCUAUAGAAGAUUUUUCUCGCGGUUCAUAUUCCUACAGUGAACAAACACCAAGUAAACACAAAGACAGCAUCGGACCUCGUCUGGCACACCUUCGGAGACUUCUGUCGGCCUGGGAAAUUCGCGUAUUCAUAUGCUUUCCCUCCAAUCCAAUCAAGAAACCAGGACUAGAAGACAACUUUGCAUUCUACAGAGGUGGUUUCUGGAGUCCGGUGUAGUUCAAUCAGGCCGAGUUAAGGUAAUAAAAGAAAAGAAAAAACUGGAUACUUAAGCCGUGAAAGAGUUCCUUUUCAAGGAUCACGAUGCAUACCAGCUGGCGAUAUACAUCGAAGAUGGAAGCCUUUUAAUGGAAGCUCUAGUGAACCACGAGGUAAAGCUUUAAUUCUGUUUAAUCAAGACUUGGUUGAGAGGAUGAUCGGACACUCCCCGUUGGAUGUAAGUGCCGCUAUAGAACGUCAAGCUUUUCUCAAGAGAUACCAGCACAGGGUUGUGGCCGUGAACGACUAUCCGGAAAUGGAUGGAGGCUUCUUGCCCGAGUUGAAGCUCUUCAAAUUUGCCGCCAGGAUCAUCAGCGAUCCCUUCCAUUGUAUUGAAUUUGACUGUUCCCAUCAAGAGAAUAGAAAGGAAAAUUCAUAACUUGCAAAGACA
Molecule: long non-coding RNA, 1247 nt
Organism: Selaginella moellendorffii
Lineage: Eukaryota; Viridiplantae; Streptophyta; Lycopodiopsida; Selaginellales; Selaginellaceae
Exons: 6
Source: RefSeq, a predicted model, not a curated record